CCUCCCUCGCCCAAUCUCUCUACUGUUGGAAAGGUUCAAUCGAAGCCCUCUUCUGCUGGAAGGGCUUCUUCUUUUCGGGUCAAACCUUCGUCCUCUUCAGGGACUCCUGGAACUGUGCGUCUGGGUUCUUGGGCUGUCUCCUCCAAUCUCUCUAUUGAUAGGCCUCCUUUAGUGGAAGCCAACGGGCCGGGGGGGGAAAGACUUUUGUGGCUGAGGUUUCUCAGGUGGAGCCUGCUGCUGGUUCUUCUCCUCCUGCGGAGGUUAAGGAUGCUGCAAAGUCUUCUACAUCUAAUGUCGCAUCUGCUGGUGUUGAUUUCAGAAUGGUGUAAGCCUUGGGUUUUAAGUUUAGUGGGUAGGUUUUUGGGGGGUCUUCCUCCGCCGCACAUCCUUGUAACAAAGAUGCGGAAGGUUUCUUCUCCUCCCUUGGUAAUGGAUAUGCAGAACAACUUUUUUUAGUUUCGGUUUCAAUCUGAAGACGAUAUGGUCUCUGUGCUUACUUCAGGGCCAUAGUCAUUGAGGGGCCACUUCUUGCAUUCUUCCCAUGGCGUCCCAACUUCAAUCCUCUAACUGAAACCCUCAAAUCCUCCCCGGUGUGGAUUCAGCUUCCGGAAGGACUGUCUCUCUAGUAUUAUAUGCAUGCGCUUGGUCGACCGAUCAAAAUUGACGAAUGAUCUCUUAAAUUUGAACGUGGACGUUUUGCACGGAUUUGUGUAGAAAUUGGUCUUUCUGUUCCCCUUCAGCAAGGAGUGUAGAUUGGUGAAUCCGUUUCUUUCAAGCGUGUUCUUAUGAGAACUUCUCCUCUGUCUGUUUUCACUGUGGGUGCAUUGGCCAUAAGCUUGCGGAUUGUCCCUCUAAGUUGGAGGAUUGGGUCACUAGUGCUCCGGCGGCAUGGCUGGCAUCCCUGGCAACAGGAGUAACCCCCUCGGGGAACAUUGAACCAUCAACCCUUGGAGAGGGCACGAACCAACAGGCGGCCCUGGAUUUGUGCGUAGGGGUCGGCGCUCCUUCGCGGUGCCAGAGAUGAUGCUUCCCUCUCGUGCGAAACAUGGGACUGCUCUGGGAUCCGACGUCUCGGUUACUGUACCGAUUUCAGCUGGUGUCAUUAAUAUUGUGCAGGAUAUGACGUUACAGCCUGAGGUAGUUUCUGGCUCUGUUCGACAAGAGGUGUUGCUCGUUGGUGGAUCACAGUCCGAUCUGGCUGCCGCUGGUGUGGACUUGGGUGCGAGCUGCUGCUUCCAGUGACGAGCCCAAUGGAUGAGCUGUUGCUCCUGCGGGAGUAACUGAAUCCGCUUCGUCGGAUGUGAGGCUUCGUGCUUCUCGAUGGUUGGAGCGGACAGUUACUGCUCAUUUCCCUAGGGUUUCUAGUGCUGAGCGUGCGACCAAGCUUUCUGGGUAACCGACGAAUGGGGGACAGUUUUAAAGAGAUGGUGGCUGCGGCCCUGCUAGCCUUCGUCAAGAGGCCUGCUUCGCCGGAUGGAACUCCUCGAGCGGGUGAAGUGACAGAUGGCCUCCCGAGGGCUUCUGCUAGCUCAGUUCAGGAGGUGACGCAUGGGAGACCGGAAGCAAAGGCGGUGGUUGCACGGUUGAAGUCGACGCGGGGGCCGUGGUUCCCAAUCUUCCCGCUGGACGUCCUUUUCACCUGUUCUCAAAUCUCCUCCGUGUUGGGAAAUUUCUGUUCUCUUUUUAUGAAUAUUCCUAGUUGGAAAUAACUACCAUGGGCUGAGGAGAAGGCCGGCAGUGGAUUGCAUUCUGUAUAA
This is a long non-coding RNA of Musa acuminata AAA Group (dessert banana), 1757 nucleotides long. RefSeq lists it as uncharacterized. The transcript is spliced from 2 exons. Lineage: Eukaryota; Viridiplantae; Streptophyta; Magnoliopsida; Zingiberales; Musaceae. The record is from RefSeq and is a predicted model, not a curated record.